Molecule: transfer RNA, 66 nt
Filed under: Rugitermes flavicinctus
Lineage: Eukaryota; Metazoa; Arthropoda; Insecta; Blattodea; Kalotermitidae
Description: tRNA-Pro
Source: RNAcentral
CAGGGAAUAGUUUAUUUAAAAUGGUAAUUUUGGAGAUUAUUGAUAGGGAUUUUUCUUUUUCCUUGA